Tulasnella calospora MUT 4182 is the source of this 103-nucleotide non-coding RNA. Lineage: Eukaryota; Fungi; Basidiomycota; Agaricomycetes; Cantharellales; Tulasnellaceae. The record is from the annotation of a GenBank genome assembly.
GUCUCUGUGGUGUAGUGGUUAUCACGCGUCCUUUACACGCAUUUGGUCUUUGAACAAAUACGAGAAACGGACUAGGUCUUCGGUUCGAUCCCGAACAGGGACA